AUUGAACGCUGGCGGCAUGCUUUACACAUGCAAGUCGAACGGUAACAGGCCUUCGGGCGCUGACGAGUGGCGAACGGGUGAGUAAUGCAUCGGAACGUGCCCAGAGGUGGGGGAUAACGCAGCGAAAGCUGUGCUAAUACCGCAUAUUAUCUGAGGAUGAAAGCGGGGGACUAAGCAGCAAUGUUUGGCCUCGCGCCUUUGGAGCGGCCGAUGUCAGAUUAGGUAGUUGGUGGGGUAAAGGCCUACCAAGCCGACGAUCUGUAGCUGGUCUGAGAGGACGACCAGCCACACUGGGACUGAGACACGGCCCAGACUCCUACGGGAGGCAGCAGUGGGGAAUAUUGGACAAUGGGCGAAAGCCUGAUCCAGCAAUGCCGCGUGAGUGAUGAAGGCCUUAGGGUUGUAAAGCUCUUUUACCCGAGAUGAUAAUGACAGUAUCGGGAGAAUAAGCUCCGGCUAACUCCGUGCCAGCAG
RNAcentral lists this ribosomal RNA (474 nucleotides) under uncultured bacterium. Its description in RNAcentral is "bacterial SSU rRNA". It matches the Rfam family "Bacterial small subunit ribosomal RNA", at positions 30 to 514 of the family's 1533-position model. The record is from RNAcentral.